CAGUAGCCGCGGGAAUACGUAGGUGGCAAGCGUUGUCCGGAAUUAUUGGGCGUAAAGCGCGCGCAGGUGGUUUAAUAAGUCUGAUGUGAAAGCCCACGGCUCAACCGUGGAGGGUCAUUGGAAACUGUUAAACUUGAGUGCAGGAGAGAAAAGUGGAAUUCCUAGUGUAGCGGUGAAAUGCGUAGAGAUUAGGAGGAACACCAGUGGCGAAGGCGGCUUUUUGGCCUGUAACUGACACUGAGGCGCGAAAGCGUGGGGAGCAAACAGGAUUAGAUACCCGGGUAGUCCCUGUCUCUUAUAC
This 301-nucleotide ribosomal RNA is filed under the name uncultured bacterium. RNAcentral's name for it is "partial 16S ribosomal RNA". It matches the Rfam family "Bacterial small subunit ribosomal RNA", at positions 509 to 807 of the family's 1533-position model. The record is from RNAcentral.